AGCUGUAAACCCAACUACAUUGUGUAUAGUUAUAAAUAUAGACAUUGUAAUUUUAAUCCACUUUCUGAAAGUGGUCACAUGUAUCUUUUAAUAUAAAACUGCACCUCAAUUUCAAUACUUCGUGGAUUUUGUACAAUGUAGGACAUUUAAGUGUUUAUAUUUACCGAUAAAGACCGUAUUAGUUUUAGUGUAUUCAUUAUGCAGCAAAAGCAAACAACUCCUAAGUAGGACAAAGGGUAUUCAUGGCCUCUACAAAGCAAGUGUUAUAUUUGUUGGAUCUGAGAACAUUGAGGAUAUUUAACACUUGACAACUUCCAAAGUAAGGAAGUCGGCUUUCCGAACAGGCAUCUCCAUUGGUUGCCGAGUAUGCGAACUUUGAACCUUGCUUUCAUGUUUUAAAUGUUGCCUUUUAGAAUAUGUUGGUUUCUUGAUAUUAAAGUAUAGACUGUUAAUAAUUGUAGAUGCCAUAGAGGCACUAAUCAGUAUAAUUAACUAUUCAACAAUGGCAGAUCUUGAAAACGAUUAUAUAGGUGCACAAGUACAAAUAUCCACUCCUAUGAGUAUAAAGCAGUUGAAACCUGUCUUAAAGACAAACUUAGCCGUACCUAUACCUUUGGAUGGUUGUGUUAAAAUAACUGGCUGUCAAGUACUCUCCGAUGAGCAGUUUUUACUACUUGACCAAAUAAACCGACGUCUACUGAACUUCAACGCAGAUGGAGUCCAUACUAGAGAUGUUAUAACGUUUAAUGGAAUUCCAUUUGACAUUUGUUUGUUUGGAGAUCAAACGGUCGUUGUUUCUAUUUUGGAUAAGAAUCAAAUACUGGUGGUAGAUAUUGAAAAUAGUAUCAUUCUUAAGUCAUUUCCAGUAGAAGGUUCAUGUUAUGGGUUGGACAGCGAUGGCGAAACAUUGAUUGUUCGGUUACAAGAUAAAGACAUAGUGAUCAUUACAGAUAUUGAUGGAAGUAUUCAAAUAAAGGUUAAGAUACCAGGAUACUAUCUUAUUCGAGUGGCUUUAUUCAAGGACAAAAUAUACAGUACAAAUGUGAAUGAAAACACAGUAUCCUGUUACACAAGAGAAGGUCAACAUAUUUGGACAAUCAGAAACAAUGACAUCAAUAGACCAUUUGGUCUUUCCGUUGAUAUAAAUGGAAUGGUAUAUGUGGCAUGCAAUCCGACAAACACAGUUGUAGCUAUUUCCCCUGAUGGUAUCUCAAGUAGGGUUAUUUUAUCCGCCAAGGACGGAUUGGACAAGCCUUAUGCUGUUCACGUUGAUAAGAAAUCAUCAACUUUAUUAAUUUGCAAUGAAGACAAUGCCAGAGCUUUAGUUUAUAGCAUAAGGAAAUGAAACUUCGUUCAAUAUAGUACCGUUUCUGAAAGGCAUUAUUUAACUUGUGGUAACAUAUAUUGUUUAAAGUCCCUGCAUGACUUGUGUAUUUGGAGUUGGCACCACUUUUUUUAUCAAAGGUCUAGACAAAGAGUAGAAAAAGCAAUUAUCUUACCUCCUAUACGCUUCUAGAAAUAUCAUUGGUUGAAAACGAACACGUGGAGAACUUGUAUAUUUAAUAUUCUGUCAGUGAGCGUGUUUUAUUUUAAUACACGGUUAGUAGUGGUGUUA
Long non-coding RNA from Mytilus californianus (California mussel), 1615 nucleotides. RefSeq lists it as uncharacterized. The record is from RefSeq and is a predicted model, not a curated record. The transcript is spliced from 2 exons. NCBI's taxonomy places the organism in Eukaryota, Metazoa, Mollusca, Bivalvia, Mytilida, Mytilidae.